UCUGGUGGUUAGAGCGGGGCGGAACCACCCGUUCUCAUCCCGAACACGGAAGUGAAAAGCCCUAGCGCAGACGAUACUGAGGGGGCAACCCUUUGUGGAAAAUAUGCCACUGCCAGGG
RNAcentral lists this ribosomal RNA (118 nucleotides) under Dehalococcoidia bacterium. Lineage: Bacteria; Bacillati; Chloroflexota; Dehalococcoidia. The record is from RNAcentral.